CUGUGCUCGCUCGGGUUCUUGAACAUUGAGUCUCAAGGGGCACGGACAGUUUGCCCGUCCCUUCGAUAGCUCAGCUGGUAGAGCGGAGGACUGUAGCUGACUUCCUGGCAGGAGACAUCCUUAGGUCGCUGGUUCGAUUCCGGCUCGAAGGAGACAAGUACGCUUUUUGUCAACUUUCUACGAUUUACGGCCCUUUCCACGGGUCUCCUUUCCUAAUAUAAUAUUCCAACGAACACUUGGAGAUUCUGGUACUUUCGCUCCAGUUUUGGCCUAUGGCAGCAACCCUCGUAUGAAAUAUUUUGUGAAUUACCCAAGCGGGGACGUGCUGUCCUAGUAACAAGCGCCGAAGUGAGUCUGCGCUCUGCGGGGCGGCUGCCAGGUCCCGGACUUCUGCUCCUUUCUAAAUCGUCUUUGGCGUUUCCCGAGUCCCCUGAGCAUACAGAGAAAGGUCCCGAGCCAGCCAGCCGCCUGCUCUUUUCCUCAGAGCUCCGGGGAGAGGGGGCAACUCGAACGCUCUUUCCAGCGGCCAUGAGAAGAUGNGGGGGUGGGGGGGUGGGGUCACCAGAAGGAUACCUUUGUGAUGGGCAAACCUGGGAGUCGGGAAAGAAACGCGGUAGAAAGCACACGAAGCUUAGAAAAUGAGUAAACAUUAUAAAGAAAAGUCGGCACUCUGUCUCCCCGCUCCCUUCGAUAGCUCAGCUGGUAGAGCGGAGGACUGUAGGCCCUGAUGUCCCUAGCCAUCCUUAGGUCGCUGGUUCGAUUCCGGCUCGAAGGAGAGUGUUUAUUGAUUUUUGUUACUUUGGCCUCAGCUGUGACGCAAGAUUAAGAACGUGAUUAAGAAAAACAUUUUUUCCAUUUCUAAGUGCUCUGACCUCUCUCUAGGGGAAGAGAUAACCGGCCGUGCCCAGCGGUGGGGGAUUAGCUCAAAUGGUAGAGCGCUCGCUUAGCAUGCGAGAGGUAGCGGGAUCGAUGCCCGCAUCCUCCAACCCUUUUCUCCUCAUUCCGUAUAAUAGUUUUUCUUUCGAUUCUCAUUCAACUCAAGUAGAACUUGAAAUCAGCUCUCAGGCAAGUGAGAGACAAGGCGAACUUGAGGUUACCGUUUCCUAAAACUCCCCAGACGAGGGAUAAUGGGUGCUGACGGAGUUUAUUCUUACAACUUAAAAAUUUUAGACCCAUUUACUUUGGGAGGUUCACGAAAUUGGUUCUUUUUCUGUCCAAAAAUGGUUACAGAUUGCAGUCCCAUCUGUUCCCACUUUGUGAUUUGUACUCGAUCGCUGCACUUCCAAGGACCCAUUUGAUACUAAACUGCCCGGAUUUAAGGGGGGACUGACAGAAAAACAACCCAAAAAACAUUGAACUUGGAAAAGGACGCUGGCUACUUUAAACUUAGCGUUAAGCCGGAGCGAGAAGUAUUCCGCUCCACAUCAACUUUCAGUGGGGUGACCAACUCUGGGCCGAUCUACUAAGGUAGGAUAAAGAUACCUGAAGAGAGGCGAGGAAGCGGAAGGGUUUUUAAACCUAGAAGCUGGCUACUGAAGGAGGGGUUCUAAUGCCCUUUUCCUCCUGGGGAGUAACUGGAGAACUGGAGACCAGCACUGAAAAGGAAUUAAAUGGAAAAAAGUUUUACUUAGGGCUGAUUUUGAGCAUAGUCUAGUUUGUUAAAGACAAAACAAAAACAAAAUAAAUACACACACACUCGCUGAAAGAUUCAGAAGUUGAGCAGAACACACACAAAGGCUUUUCUGGAAAUAUAUGCUCCCUAUCCUAAUUUACUAGAAUAUAGCCUUUAAAAAGCUGUUGAAACUAUACUGUGGUUCUCAACACAAAACAUAAAUUUACAAAGACAAAGGCAGAAAUACUAUCUUUUUUGAGGAUUACAAUUAGUAAAUGAUAAUUCUUU
This 1900-nucleotide transfer RNA is filed under the name Lynx pardinus (Iberian lynx). The stretch from base 913 to 985 matches the Rfam family "tRNA". The record is from RNAcentral. Lineage: Eukaryota; Metazoa; Chordata; Mammalia; Carnivora; Felidae.